Tupaia belangeri (northern tree shrew) is the source of this 164-nucleotide small nuclear RNA. Its record names the gene U1. It matches the Rfam family "U1 spliceosomal RNA". From Rfam's summary of the family: U1 is a small nuclear RNA (snRNA) component of the spliceosome (involved in pre-mRNA splicing). Its 5' end forms complementary base pairs with the 5' splice junction, thus defining the 5' donor site of an intron. There are significant differences in sequence and secondary structure between metazoan and yeast U1 snRNAs, the latter being much longer (568 nucleotides as compared to 164 nucleotides in human). The record is from Ensembl. Lineage: Eukaryota; Metazoa; Chordata; Mammalia; Scandentia; Tupaiidae.
AUACUUACCUGGCAGGGGAGAGACCAUGAUCAUGAAGGUGGUUUUCCCAGGGCAAGGCUUAUCCAUUGCACUCUGGGUGUGCUGACCCCUGCGAUUUCCCCAAAUGUGGGGAACUCGACUGCAUAAUUUGUGGUAGUGGGGGACUGAGUUUGCGCUCUCCCCUG